AUUCUAAAUCUGCAUGUUUCUUUUUAGAAACCUAUCAGCAAAAAAUGAACCUAAAGUAUGUAAUGCAAGGAUGUAAUCACUUUCAAGAGGGAGAAAACAUAAAGUUCGACUUUAAGUGACAACUAUGGACACCUAAUAUGACAAGCAGAUUCUGCAGGUCAUUAAUCAAUGUAUAAAACUAAAACAGAAUGUAUUUUUAGUGACACAGGACACAAACAAGGAAGCAAGAUGUGUAAUUAGGAUUAUUUAUAAUAAAUAUGAAUUAAUUAGGGCAAUUUCUUUAACCAUAAAGAAUAACUAAAUCCUUCAGGACAAUGUCACAUCAAUGCACUGAACUCACUAUGUUAUCCCUCUAACAGAGCCUCUACAUGUUCUCACUGUAAUUUCCCCCUCACGAAUGAAUUUUUGCUAGCACUAAUUUGAAUGUUGGGGGGAAUCAAACGCAUUUUACUCGCAGUACUCAAGCUGACUUACCUUUGCUUGAAUGACGGCGUACUCACAACGUGGAGGCUUAAAAAUAGCCAAAUCUUGUACCCAGUCCUUGGUGAAUUGGAUGUGCGCCUCCAGAGAUUUAUAAUUGCGAAAUUGGUGCGCCGUGUAUGCUCUGACUCCACAGACAAGGUAUGAGAGUAGAUCAUGCUAAGUCAAUAGCGGUUUGGUCUUCAGGGUUUCUACUCCACGGCUAUAUUUCAUACGGGUCCACAUUUCAACAAUCAAGUACCGUCUCUUUGCAUCUGGACAGAAUCUGUCUCUAUACCGUCAUUUUCUUUUGAGCUACGUUUCAGAAUGGUUCGUAGCAAUCUUGUUUUGAUUCGUGACCUGCCAAGAUGGUGCUGCGCUCCCACAAUGCAUUGCGACAUUACGUCAACUCCAAAGCCCUUUGCGUGCAGGAGUGUAUGCGCAUGCGCAUUGCCACGGUGGUUUAAAAAAUAAAGAUAUAAUGAAAAGUAAUUAAUAAAAAUUAAAUAUUUAAACAUUCCCACAAAUGUGCAAUGAACGUGCAAAAACUCUCUUUAGUAGUUGUUACUGUUUCUUUCUUUCUUCUUCUUUUUUUUUUUUUUUUGAAAAAUAACGACGUCUCUGAGGCGCGAAAUCUGACAGCGAGAGGAACGGCCGGAUACAGGAGACGGGAAGAAACAAGCCGAUUAUGUUCGCGUUAAUUAAGUGGUUGGAAGAUGUAAAAUUCUCAAUUCUGCCAACUGAACAUAUACGAGAUUUUAAUGAGGAUGAAUAAUUAGCCGGCAUGGAGGAAACGGACCUUUAUUUCGUGGAGUGGCGACAAGAAGCCAAGGCGGGUGGCCAGUCUAAGAAGCCUCCAUCAUCAAGCUAGCAGGUGCCUUUUCCCAUAUAAUAUUACUUUAUUCUCGUGUAUUUGGAACGGAAGCGUAGAGCUGCCACCCAGGCAAAAGAGAAAUAUAAGUAUAUCACGUUAUAACGUGAAAAGUUUAUCGUUCUAACAAUAUACUAUCAUGUUUGAACAACAUGUUUGAACAACAUUGUACGAAAAAUGUACAUAAUUAUCACGUCCGUACAAAAUUGUGCGAACGUGACAAUUAUGUAUAUUAUAAUAACGUGAUAUUAUAUUAUACAAACAUGAAAAGCAUAAUGUUAGAACAAUAAACAUUUCACGUCAUAACGUGAUACAGCUCUAUUUUUCUUUUGCCUGGGUGGCAGCUCCACGCUUCCAUAAUUUGGUAAUCAAAAUAUGUAACUUAAUUAAUUAUAUUGUGACGUUUUGCCUUUUCCUUUUAUUCUGCCUUCUCAAUAACUAUCAAAGCCUAUUCACAUUUAAUUUGGCUUUCACAGAAAUCCUACCUCUCCUUCUGGCUACAGAGUACUUACCAAGCCCAUGAAAUCGAAUGCAGAUCUUCCUAAUGUGAGAUUUACAUAAAUAUGUCAAAGUCUCAACCUCAUGCUGCCCUCCCCCAUCCUCCUAAACCUGUGGAUACAAAUGCAGAUUUCCUUAAUGUUCAAUGGUGCGUGUUCUUCUAAUGGCCGCCUUCCCACUGGAGGUUUUGAUCCACAGCAAUUUAAAAGGAGGACAGAGCAAAACGGACAUCGGCGCAGAGUGAAGAACUGCCCUUGAUAAGGACACUAUGACAGCCAUAUAUAUGGCGGUAAGGAAGGGGUUUCCCAGCGUGUCCAGAAGGGCUUUGAGGAUUGCCGUGAAAGCUGGGGGAACUGAGACUGCCGGAAAAGGAAAAGAAAUUACAUUUUAAGUAUGCUGACUUAUGUUCAUACAAUCACACACACAUAUACACAUACACA
Molecule: long non-coding RNA, 2268 nt
Organism: Haplochromis burtoni (Burton's mouthbrooder)
Lineage: Eukaryota; Metazoa; Chordata; Actinopteri; Cichliformes; Cichlidae
Exons: 7
Source: RefSeq, a predicted model, not a curated record